CUGGCUCAGGAUGAACGCUGGCGGCGUGCCUAACACAUGCAAGUCGAACGAGCGAGAGAUGAAACCUAGUGAUUCUCGAGCGAGUGGCGGACGGGUGAGUAACGCGUGGGUAACCUGCCUUACAGAGGGGGAUAACAGUCUGAAAAGACUGCUAAUACCGCAUAAGCACACAGUACCGCAUGGUACAGGGUGAAAAGAUUUAUCACUGUAAGAUGGACCCCGCGUCUGAUUAGCCAGUUGGCAGGGUAACGGCCUACCAAAGCGACGAUCAGUAGCCGACCUGAGAGGGUGAUCGGCCACAUUGGGACUGAGACACGGCCCAAACUCCUACGGGAGGCAGCAGUGGGGGAUAUUGCACAAUGGAGGAAACUCUGAUGCAAGCGACGCCGCGUGAGUGAAGAAGUAUUUCGGUAUGUAAAGCUCUAUCAGCAGGGAAGAUAAUGACAGUACCUGACCAAGAAGCCCCGGCUAACUACGUGCCAGCCGCCGC
Molecule: ribosomal RNA, 490 nt
Filed under: uncultured bacterium
Lineage: Bacteria
Description: bacterial SSU rRNA
Rfam family: Bacterial small subunit ribosomal RNA
Source: RNAcentral